Molecule: ribosomal RNA, 228 nt
Filed under: uncultured bacterium
Lineage: Bacteria
Description: partial 16S ribosomal RNA
Rfam family: Bacterial small subunit ribosomal RNA
Source: RNAcentral
UGAGCAAUCUGCCCUUCUCAUCGGAAUAAGCGUUGGAAACGACGUCUAAUGCCGAAUACGACCUCCUUUCGCAUGAUCGGAGGUGGAAAGCUCCGGCGGAGAAGGAUGAGCUCGCGGCCUAUCAGCUUGUUGGCGGGGUAAUGGCCCACCAAGGCAACGACGGGUAGCUGGUCUGAGAGGAUGAUCAGCCACAUUGGGACUGAGACACGGCCCAGAUCCCGUACGGGG